Molecule: ribosomal RNA, 888 nt
Filed under: Chloroflexi bacterium enrichment culture clone B31118
Lineage: Bacteria; Bacillati; Chloroflexota
Description: bacterial SSU rRNA
Rfam family: Bacterial small subunit ribosomal RNA
Source: RNAcentral
AGAGUUUGAUCAUGGCUCAGGAUGAACGUUGGCGGUGUGCCUAAUACAUGCAAGUCGAACGGAGUUAAUAGCAAUAUUGACUUAGUGGCGAACGGGUGAGUAACGCGUUGGUGAUCUGCCUCGAAGUGUGGAAUAACGUUCCGAAAGGAUCGCUAAUACCGCAUGUGCUCUCGAUUUUUAGAAAGUUGAGAGUAAAGGAUUUAUUCGCUUCGAGAGGAGCCUGCGUCCCAUCAGCUGGUUGGUAGGGUAACGGCCUACCAAGGCUAUGACGGGUAGGGGACCUGAGAGGGUGGCCCCCCACAAUGGAACUGAAACACGGUCCAUACACCUACGGGUGGCAGCAGUAGGGAAUAUUAGAAAUGGACGAAAGUCUGAUCUAGCAACACCGCGUGUGCGAAGAAGGCCUUCGGGUCGUAAAGCACUUUUUGGAAGGAAUAGGAAGGAAUGUACUUCCAGAAUAAGUCUCGGCUAACUACGUGCCAGCAGCCGCGGUAACACGUAGGAGGCAAACGUUAUCCGGAUUUACUGGGCGUAAAGCGCGUGUAGGUGGUACUGUAAGUAGGGCGUGAAAGCUCCCGGCUCAACUGGGAGAGGCCGUUCUAAACUGCAGAACUAGAGGAUGGUAGAGGGAGGUGGAAUUCCAGGUGUAGCGGUGGAAUGCGCAGAUAUCUGGAGGAACACCAGUGGCGAAGGCGGCCUCCUGGACCAUUCCUGACACUCAGACGCGAAAGCUAGGGUAGCAAACGGGAUUAGAGACCCCGGUAGUCCUAGCCCUAAACGAUGUAGACUAGGCGUCGGUGGUUUAAUCACCAUCGGUGUCCAAGCUAACGCGAUAAGUCUACCGCCUGGGGACUACGGCCGCAAGGUUAAAACUCAAGGAAUUGACGG